AGAUUGAACGCUGCUCCAUGCUUUACACAUGCAAGUCGAACGGUAACAGGUUAUGCUGACGAGUGGCGAACGGGAGUAAUGCAUCGGAACGUGCCCGAUCGUGGGGGAUAACGCAGCGAAAGCUGCGCUAAUACCGCAUACGAUUCUGAGGAUGAAAAGCGGGGGACCGUAAGGCCUCCGCGAUCGGAGCGGCCGAUGUCAGGAUUAAGGUAGUUGGUGGGGUAAAGGGCUCACCAAGCCAACGAUCUGUAGCUGGUCUGAGAGGACGACCAGCCACACUGGGACUGAGACACGGCCCAGACUCCUACGGGGAGGCAGCAGUGGGGAAUUUUGGACAAUGGGCGCAAGCCUGAUCCAGCAAUGCCGCGUGCAGGAAGAAGGCCUUCGGGUUGUAAACUGCUUUUGUACGGAACGAAACGGUGAUCUCUAAUACAGAUUGCUAAUGACGGUACCGUAAGAAUAAGCACCGGCUAACUCUGUGCCAGCAGCCGCCGGUUAAUACAGAGGGUGCAAGCGUCUAAUCGGAAUUACUGGGCGUAAAGCGCCGCGUAGGUGGUUCGUUAAGAUUGGAUGUGAAAUCCCCCGGGCUCAACCUGGGAACUGCAUUUCAAAACUGUACGAGCUAGAGUUAUGGUAGUAGGGUGGUGGAAUUUCCUGUGUAGCGGUGAAAUGCGUAGAUAUAGGAAAGGAACACCAUGUUGGCGCAAAGGCGACCACCUCGGACUGAUACUGACACUGACGGUGCGAAAGCGUGGGGAGCAAACAGGAUUAGAUACCCUGGUAGUCCACGCCGUAAACGAUGUCAACUAGCCGGUGGGAGCCCUGAGCUCUUAGUGGCGCAGCUUACGCAUUAAGUUUU
This 859-nucleotide ribosomal RNA is filed under the name uncultured bacterium. Its description in RNAcentral is "bacterial SSU rRNA". It matches the Rfam family "Bacterial small subunit ribosomal RNA", at positions 26 to 868 of the family's 1533-position model. The record is from RNAcentral.